Molecule: ribosomal RNA, 364 nt
Filed under: uncultured bacterium
Lineage: Bacteria
Description: bacterial SSU rRNA
Rfam family: Bacterial small subunit ribosomal RNA
Source: RNAcentral
UAAUACGUAGGGGGCGAGCGUUGUCCGGAAUUACUGGGCGUAAAGAGCGACGUAGGCGGGUAUUUAAGUCAGGUGUGAAAGACCGCGGCCCAACUGCGGGGUUGCACUUGAAACUGAAUAUCUUGAGGGCAGGAGAGGUCAGUGGAAUUCCUGGUGUAGCGGUGAAAUGCGUAGAUAUCAGGAGGAACACCAGUGGCGAAGGCGACUGACUGGACUGACCCUGACGCUGAGGUGCGAAAGCGUGGGUAGCAAACAGGAUUAGAUACCCUGGUAGUCCACGCCGUAAACGAUGGAUACUAGGUGUGGGAGGUAUCGACCCCUCCGUGCCGGCKMCCGCAAUAAGUAUCCCGCCUGGGGAGUACGG